UACGUAGGGUGCGAGCGUUAAUCGGAAUUACUGGGCGUAAAGCGUGCGCAGGCGGUGAUGUAAGACAGGUGUGAAAUCCCCGGGCUUAACCUGGGAACUGCAUUUGUGACUGCAUCGCUGGAGUGCGGCAGAGGGGGAUGGAAUUCCGCGUGUAGCAGUGAAAUGCGCAGAUAUCGGGAAGAACACCCGUGGCGAAGGCGGCUCUCUGGGACGGUACUGACGCUGAGACGCGAAAGCCAGGGGAGCAAACGGG
RNAcentral lists this ribosomal RNA (253 nucleotides) under uncultured bacterium. RNAcentral's name for it is "partial 16S ribosomal RNA". It matches the Rfam family "Bacterial small subunit ribosomal RNA", at positions 524 to 776 of the family's 1533-position model. The record is from RNAcentral.